ACCACCCGGCCAAAUAGAACUGGCAGAAAGACAUUAGUACAAGAAGAAAAAGAUGGAAAAUCUUGCACUGGAGUCCGAAAUAAAAAGAGGACAAUUAGGAAACUGGACCUUGAAAUAAAAAACUUGAGAGGGAGCUCCAAGAAGAUGACACAGCUCAAAAUAAAAA
Molecule: non-coding RNA, 166 nt
Organism: Salmo salar (Atlantic salmon)
Lineage: Eukaryota; Metazoa; Chordata; Actinopteri; Salmoniformes; Salmonidae
Source: RefSeq, a predicted model, not a curated record